AUGGGAAAUAAGCAAGACGAACUCCAACUCCUAGCACAGCACCACACAUACGAUGUCAUAGGCAUCACUGAAACCUGGUGGGAUGACUCCCAUCACUGGAAUUUAACCAUUGAGGGCUAUAACCUCUUUCACAGAAAUAGAACAAAGGGGAGAGGAGGGGGAGUAGCUUUAUAUGUCAAAAACAGUUACGUUGCAGAAGAAAUGCAAGACUGUAAUCCGGGAAACCAGCUUGAAAGCAUCUGGAUAAGAAUCAAGGGAACCGGGACUCAAAAAGAUCUUGUCGUGGGUGUCUACUACAGACCUCCGAGUCAGGAUGAAGGACUUGAUGAAGCCUUCUGUCAACAGCUGACCAAACAGGCACAAAGAAGAGAUAUAGUAGUCAUGGGCGAUUUCAAUUAUCCCGAUAUCUGCUGGAAAACAAACUCAGCCAAGAGUACAAAGUCCAACAAAUUCCUCACUUGCCUUGCAGAUAAUUUUAUGGUCCAGAAGGUAGAAGAGGCAACAAGGGGAUCAGCAACUUUUGAUCUAAUCUUAACAAAUGUGGAAGACCUCAUCAAUACAGUUGAAGUGGUUGGAGCCUUAGGGGCAAGUGACCAUGUGCUCCUGCAGUUUGCAAUACAAAGGAAUGCUGAAACUAAGACAAGUCAAACACGCUUUCUGGACUUUAAGAGAGCUGACUUCCAAAAAAUGAAGGAAUUACUGAGCGGCAUUCCAUGGACGCCGAUAUUAAAAAACAAGGGAGUUAAGGAUGGAUGGGAGUUUUUCAAAAGUGAAAUACUCAAGGCGCAAAUGCAAACAGUGCCAACAAAGAAGAAAAAUAAGACAAGUGCAAAGAAGCCAGAAUGGAUGUCCAAAGAACUUCUAACUGAGCUAAAGCUCAAAAGUGACAUGCACAAGAAGUGGAAAAGGGGAGAAAUCACCAAAGAAGAAUUCAAACGUAUAGCCAACUCCUGUAGGGAAAAGGUUCACAAGGCUAAAGCGCAAAAUGAGCUCAGGCUUGCCAGGGACAUAAAAAACAACAAAAAAGGCUUUUUUGCUUACGUUGGUAGAAAAAGGAAGAAAAAGGAGGCGAUAGGGCCAUUGCAAGGAGAAGAUGGGGUGAUGGCGACAGGGGACAGGGAAAAGGCAGAACUACUUAAUGCCUUCUUUGCCUCGGUCUUCUCACAAAAAGAAAGCCAUCUUCAACCUCAGCAACAUGGAAUGGACGAAGGAUUGGGGGAAAUCCAACCCCAAAUAGGGAAACAAGUUGUCCAGGAACACCUGGCCACUCUAAACGAAUUCAAGUCCCCAGGGCCAGACCAGCUACAUCCAAGAGUACUGAAGGAACUAGCGGAAGUUAUUUCAGAACCACUGGCAAUUAUCUUCGAGAGUUCUUGGAGAACGGGAAAAGUCCCAGCAGAUUGGAGGAGGGCGAAUGUGGUUCUGAAAUAACUUCCGCUAGUUCCUUCAAUACUCUUGGAUGUAGCUGAUCUGGCCCUGGGGACUUGAAUUCGUUUAGAGUGGCCAGGUGUUCCUGGACAACUUGUUUCCCUAUUUGGGGUUGGAUUUCCCCCAAUCCUUCGUCCAUUCCAUGUUGCUGAGGUUGAAGAUGGCUUUCUUUUUGUGAGAAGACCGAGGCAAAGAAGGCAUUAAGCAGUUCUGCCUUUUCCCUAUCCCCUGUCACCAUCACCCCAUCUACUCCUUGCAGUGGCCCUAUCGCCUCCUUUUUCUUCCUUUUUCUACCAACAUAAGCAAAAAAACCUUUUUUGUUGUUUUUUAUGUCCCUGGCAAGCCUGAGCUCAUUUUGCGCUUUAGCCUUGCGAACCUUUUCCCUACAGGAGUUGGCUAUACGUUUGAAUUCUUCUUUGGUGAUUUCUCCCCUUUUCCACUUCUUGUGCAUGUCACUUUUGAGCUUUAGCUCAGUUAGAAGUUCUUUGGACAUCCAUUCUGGCUUCUUUGCACUUGUCUUAUAUUAUCUUCAUUUGUUGACACUGUUUGCAGUUUGCGCCGUUGAGUAUUUCACUUUUGAAAAACUCCCAUCCAUCCUUAACUCCCUUGUUUUUUAAUAUCGGCGUCCAUGGAAUGCCGCUCAGUAAUUCCUUUCAUUUUUUUGGAAGUCAGCUCUCUUAAAGUCCAG
This is a long non-coding RNA of Anolis carolinensis (green anole), 2116 nucleotides long. NCBI's taxonomy places the organism in Eukaryota, Metazoa, Chordata, Lepidosauria, Squamata, Anolidae. The record is from Ensembl.